AAGUCGUAACAAGGUUUCCGUAGGUGAACCUGCGGAAGGAUCAUUACAUUCAGUAGCCUAGCUACUUGUUUACACCCUUGUUUUUUUGCGCACUUCACUGUAUCCCUCGGCGGGCUUGCUCGCCGGUUGGACAACAUUUAUAACCUUUUUUAAUGUUGAGUGUCAGUCAUUCAUUUGACUUGUUGCUCACACGUUUCUUAAUUGAACGUAAAAUACAACUCUUAGCAAUGGAUAUCUAGGUUCUC
RNAcentral lists this unclassified non-coding RNA (245 nucleotides) under fungal sp. Its description in RNAcentral is "partial internal transcribed spacer region". The stretch from base 1 to 46 matches the Rfam family "Eukaryotic small subunit ribosomal RNA", at positions 1786 to 1831 of the family's 1831-position model. Lineage: Eukaryota; Fungi. The record is from RNAcentral.